RNAcentral lists this ribosomal RNA (254 nucleotides) under uncultured bacterium. Its description in RNAcentral is "partial 16S ribosomal RNA". It matches the Rfam family "Bacterial small subunit ribosomal RNA", at positions 524 to 776 of the family's 1533-position model. The record is from RNAcentral.
UACGUAGGGUACAAGCGUUAUCCGGAUUUACUGGGCGUAAAGCGUCUCGUCGGCGGGUAAGUAAGUGAUUGGUCUAAGCCUGGGGCUCAACCCCAGAAAGGCUGGUCAUACUAUUUAUCUUGAGGGUAUUAGAGGAAACUGGAACUCUUUGUGGAGGGGUGAAAUCCGUAGAUAUAAAGAGGAACGCCAAGGGUGAAGACAGGUUUCUAUGAUAUUCCUGACGCUCAGGAACGACAGCUAGGGUAGCAAAAGGG